This 228-nucleotide unclassified non-coding RNA is filed under the name uncultured fungus. Its description in RNAcentral is "sequence contains ITS1, 5.8S rRNA gene". The stretch from base 180 to 228 matches the Rfam family "5.8S ribosomal RNA", at positions 1 to 49 of the family's 154-position model. The record is from RNAcentral. Lineage: Eukaryota; Fungi.
UCUCCGUAGGUGAACCUGCGGAGGGAUCAUUACCGAGUGAGGGUCCUUGUGGCCCGACCUCCAACCCUUUGUGAAUCGUACUCGUUGCUUCGGGGGCGACCCUGCCGUUUCGACGGCGAGCGCUCCCGAAGGUCUCCAAACACUGCAUCUUUGCGUCGGAGUUUAAGUAAAUUAAACAAAACUUUCAACAACGGAUCUCUUGGUUCUGGCAUCGAUGAAGAACGCAGC